This 58-nucleotide small nuclear RNA is filed under the name Fukomys damarensis (Damara mole-rat). The record is from RNAcentral. Lineage: Eukaryota; Metazoa; Chordata; Mammalia; Rodentia; Bathyergidae.
UUGCUCGCUUCGGCAGCACAUAUACUAAAAUUGGAAUAACACAGAGAAGAUCAGCAUG